GUGAGGAAUAUUGCGCAAUGGAGGCAACUCUGACGCAGCCAUGCCGCGUGCAGGAAGAAGGCGCUACGCGUUGUAAACUGCUUUUAACCGGGAAGAAACCCCAGGACGUGUCCUGGGUUGACGGUACCGGAGGAAUAAGCACCGGCUAACUUCGUGCCAGCAGCCGCGGUAAUACGAAGGGUGCAAGCGUUAUCCGGAUUCAUUGGGUUUAAAGGGUGCGUAGGCGGAGCGUUUAGUCAGUGGUGAAAUCCUGCAGCUUAACUGUAGACUUGCCAUUGAUACUGGCGCUCUUGAGUGCGCUUGAAGUGGGCGGAAUGUGCCGUGUAGCGGUGAAAUGCUUAGAUAUGGCACAGAACACCAAUUGCGAAGGCAGCUCACUAAGGCGAUACUGACGCUGAGGCACGAAAGCGUGGGGAUCGAACAGGAUUAGAUACCCGAGUAGUCC
RNAcentral lists this ribosomal RNA (445 nucleotides) under uncultured bacterium. RNAcentral's name for it is "partial 16S ribosomal RNA". It matches the Rfam family "Bacterial small subunit ribosomal RNA", at positions 354 to 796 of the family's 1533-position model. The record is from RNAcentral.